UUCAAUCAAUCUCAUAGGGAACAAAGAAGAACCGCAUAGAAGUAUGGAACCUUCCGGGUUAAGCGAUCGAAAUGACCUAACCUGGCUCCAUCUGGAAGGGCCCUCGGUAAUCUAUGUCGUCUUUGGAACUAAUAACAGAAUGGAAGGGUUCCCCCCGAAAACAACGUUAGACUUGUGCAUGUGUUAAGGAUAUAGCUUAAGUAGAUAGACUCAUUGCUUUUCUCAAUUGAUUUCUUAAGUGAAAAGAGAAAGAAGCAAAUCUCAUCUUUAGUUGUGUUACUUAAACUAGGGCAGCACUGGCCUUCUAUAUCGUCCUUCAUACUAUAAAAAGAUCAGUCUCACUAAUCGGCCUAAGGCUUAUUCAGUCUCACUAAUCGGCCUAAGGCUUCUAGAGACAAUUCCUGGCUCGACAAACUAAAGGCUGUUUCCGUUUUGAGCCUAUUCCAUUUCGAUUCUGAAAUAAAGGUGCUGAAAGCCACUAAGCAAUUCGAACUUCCUGGCUAACACGAAGAAUGGAAGAAGACCCGAAGCGGAUAGUAGAAACUCUUUGUUUGAGUUAAGCAUAAAUAAGUACAGAGGCUACGAGAAAGAUCUUAAGGCGAUCUCGCAUUGCUGCCUCACAACGUUAACAAACUCCAUCCAGGGAUUUCGAAAGAACAGUCCUUUGGCCCAGAAGGAAGACAAAAACGAGACAGAGAAAACGAGGAACCAGAAUGCAUAAAGUAAAUACGGACUCGGGCAUGACCCUCUAUAGAGUUUGAUAUAAGGGAGCAAGCCCCUCUGCAUAAGGAAGGAGAGAGAACCAGACAUGCACAACAAGUGCUAAGCCAAAGAACUAGGACUACACGAGUAGAUCGUAAUCCGAGGCUUAUCGGUUAGAAUGAGUGGAUGCACUCCAUUGGGAUCGUUGUAAUGGCAUCCCUUUGGAUUUAGAUAGUUCAGGUUGAAGUGGAUUUGAUUUAGCUGGUUUCAUUUAUGUACAAAGGAUAUCUGGAAGGAAGAUGGUAAACGGAAGAGCUGGGUCCCAAAGCAAAUGCAUUCCCAUCUGGGCAAUAGCCAAGAAAGAAAGGGCAGGUUCCGUUUUUAGGCAGGGAGUAGCCUGGUCAAUUUAUGGUCCUUUAUCCGACUCCGGUCUAGCAUAAAGAGUGGAAUGAAUCGGGUUUGCUCUCUUCACCUAGAUACUCUAUUAAUAAGGUUAGAAAGAAAACUGGUAAUAUUAAUAAGGUUAGAAAACAGAUAAUAAGGAUAAGGUUAGAAAACUGGUAAUAAGGAGGAAAACUGGUAAUAAGGAGGGUUAUCUCUCAGGAACAUUUAUACUGGGUUAUACUUUGAACGGGCGGGCUGCCUGCCUCAUUUACGUCCCCGUUGGUGACAACGAGGAUAGAAAGCAGAUGGAAAAAGCAUUCCAUUUCCUAAGAAUUUGACAAUGAACAGCCAUCCUAUUUAGAAUUAGACAAACAGACUCUUUCGAAUUAGACAAACAGACUAUACUAUUUCAUAUUUCAUAAACGAUGUCACUUUGAAUCAAUAGAGAACUUCUUUAUUUAGCCGAGUCCUAGGAUGACGGAAAACAAAGUGGAAUCGAGCGCUACUGCUUCAUUGAUUUUGGUUGCUGAGACUAGAUCUUCCAAGUGUUAGUGCCUCAGCCCGCUAUCGCUUCAUCUUUUGAUGUAUCGUAAAUGCCUGAUGUAGAUGGUAUCACUUAUUCUGCCUCGGUCGGGUGCUGCCUUAGGUUGAUGUGAAAGAAUAUCCCUUGCUUCCUACUUAUUUACUAUCUAUCGGAGAGUUGGACCCCUUGGUCUCAGUCUCCUAUAGUGAGUAGGAGUAAAGAGGAGCGAGUUGACGAGCUGGCGGACUCACGUUCAGACUUGAAGAUCCAGCCCGAAAUGCCAAUCUUGAGUUCUCGGUCAAUAGAGCUAAAGCGUGACUUCUCAGGAACGACAAAGUAUCAAAGGGGCAUUCAUCUACUUACCCUCAUUCAUCUACUUUUGAAAUGGACAGAACAAAUCGGAAAAGGCAAGCUUACCGUAUUCCUACUUGACUAGUUGUACUAUUCUGGUUUUGGAACAUACCCUUUCUAACAUAUAACACAAGGUGGAAUCAAAGUAAAGAAACUAUUAGCAAGGAGUGAAGUAAAGGCGUAAAGAAACUAUUAGUUAGGAGUGAAAUAAAGGCGUCGGUUGCCUUCCGCUGACUAUGGAAUCCCCAGAGACUAUAUCCAUCAAUAAAAAACCUACCAUUGAAUCAACAGGUAUGGAAUCAGUAUCAGGCUCUUAGCACCCGAACACAGGACAAAGAAGGAUCUUCCGCAGGAGAAGUUCCAGUUCCAUAAAUUUCUAGUAAAGCGGGAAAGCCUUUCAUUCCUAGCAAAUAAGCCUUUCACUGGUGUUGGCUUAGAAGCGGGAAGUAAAGAAUUGUUGACAGUUGAAAGAUAGGAUAGGAUAGGAUACUGAAGUCGAAGCUGUUGAAAGAGUCGAACCAUAAAUAUGUUAGUAACAAAUGCAUUUCAAACUGUGCCGUUAAGAAAGAAGAAUGAGUUCUCUGACUCCGAGCCUUACUAUUAAGCUUGAAACUAUUGAAUUGACGACCGCCCAAUGCUUGCUUCUAAGACAAGACUGUUUUAAGGAGUGGAAGCGAGAAAGCAAUCAGGGUUGCCCGCCUCGCCUUGUACUAAAAAGAAGGGUUUAGAGCUUGCUUGUAGUUAAGGGCUAUGAAAGAAGGGUUCCUUACUCUACAUAAUAGUGGAUUGUAGGUCAUAACAGUGUCCUUUAUUCGUCACCGGCGGCAGCAAGCAAUAGUAGCAAGUCCUGUCUGUUUUCGUUUCUCUUCUCGAUGCUUUAUCUUCGACUCCGGUAUUGUAUAUUAGUAAUAUAAUAAGUAGCUUGCAGCAGGGCUUGUUUCAAUAAGUAUUUGUUUAGAGAUAUUCCAUUACUGUUUUCCUACUUUCACACUGUUUGUCAGCUUGUCUAGUGGGUGCGGCGUGACUUCUAUAUAAGUAAAGUAUCCACAAGUCUUCUACAUAAGUAAAGUAUCCACAAGUGCUUUGUUCAUGGCUAAAGCAACUGAGUAACCGGUCCGGGUCAAUAAGUUCCAGGUCAAAGUGCCAAUGGAAUCCCUUUCAUAAUCAGUAUCUGUCUUUGCGCCAAUUGCAAAAGGAAGUAGGAAAUAAAGAAGCAUUUGUUGCCAGAGGAGAACACACAUAGGUUUCUUGUCAAGUCUGUAUCUCUUCUCUUCUUUCCAGUCAAUACUAGAGCAUCUAAUCUACCUAUGGCUAUCUAAUCUACCUAUGGCUACACCACUUUAAGGAUCCUAUCCUAGACAACAUUAUACUUAACGAGCAGUUGUUUUGGAGCGACUAGAUCGAGCCUUGUAAGAUAUUCUGCUGUUGGAAUCUUUUUCCCAAAGGCUGUAACAAUAAUACACCUAUACAUGCCAACAUUCUAUCCGAGCCCCUACAAUCUAUCCGAGGAGCAAUACAAUAAAGGGAGCCAUUGAAAGGUGACGAUAUCAUUGCCAGUGAGAGUUUUUAAGUAAAGACCCAGACUUGGUGGCAUCAGGGCUAGCUUCAAUUCCAUACUUGGUGGCAUCAGGGCUAGCUUCAAUUCCAUUAUUUGGAUUAUUUCUUUCCCGAGAAGAAACCGGGUAGUUAAGGUUCUUUUGCAUCCAGCCAAGCAACCACUAACAUUGCUAUCAGCCAAGCAACUCAAAUACAUAAAAAGUAAUAAGGUUGCGAAGCAAAUAACUUAUUUUGUUGUUGUUAUUACAAUUCCUGUGUUCGGCAGACAAGCAGACAAGCCGAUCUAGGCGCUAAAGAAAGUUGGGCUAAACAAGCAGACAAGCGUAUACUAAUGGAUUGAUUAGUUCAACAAAGGGUGCCUCUAUUCAAUACUACUAGUUGGGGCAAUAAUCUCUUUGCUAUCAAAAAACGACUUCCAGCUCGGCUGAGGACCAACUUCGGGAGAGCAGAGAAGACCCAACACGAAAGGUAGCCACUGAUAAUCGAAGCUAUUCAGAUGGGUCCAUUUGAUAGAAGACUCGAGACCCUGUUCCGACUUUAGCUGCUUAAAGAACUUUCAAGGAAAAAAGACGAAUUCAAGGAAAGAAAAACGAUCAUCCCUGAAGCGAGGGACCACUGAAGGAGAGCGAGUGGUGUGUAUAUGACCCGCAUGUAAUUUACCAUUGAAGUAGAUACGCUCAUGUGAGAGAUACCUAGAAGGCUCCACGAUGCGAGAAACAACCACGGGAAUCUUAAGUUAAUCAUAUAUUUGAAUAAAGCCAGAAUCACCCAAGGAAAGAUUACCUUCCAAUAGUAAACCAGCUUCAGAAUCCUGCUCGGGGCGACUGGCCGACUUCAAUCUUAUUAUAUCAUUAUAUAUGUCAGAAGAUAGUCCGGUAGGGAAGAGGCGGAGCUCGCCUUUCAAUUCAUUAUAUUGUAAAGAAAUUGAUUUGGAAUUCCGCCAAUCAACAUCCUUCUGCAGCAAGCGUCUAUGGAUGCAACCCCAGAGGGUAGGGUGGAAAUCAACCGAUCCGCUCUAAGGUGGGGGAUGCGGCUCUUGAAACGCAAACGCAUGAUUCUUUCAUUGAAAGGUCCUUGCUCACGUAAACUACGGACAGGUGAGUUGGUUAUCAUUAUUACAGGGACGUUAUUCUUCUUAGUCAACUUUAGCCCAUACUUACUGUCCAACCGACACUGUUGCCCAUCGAGGACUCGAAGGAGGGUGUUAUUCGAAGAAGCCAGUAGCGCCUGACCAGCAGCAGAGAGAUAGCUAAAAAAGCGAUCAUAUAAACAGCUCUCUCGCUCUUUGACUUGGCGGAGGUCUUCGUAGAUAGAUUGGAGGUUAUUAUGCGAUGUAAACACUCGUUUGAUGAGGUCAGCAUCGGUAUAGAUCUGCUCCCAUGAGUCGAGGCUUUUUAGCUUCUCAAUGAGGUGCUGAUGUUGAGUAGGCAUCUUCUUAUGCUGUUGAUGAGCCUUUAGGGAUUCAUUCAGGGUAGAAAGAGUAUGGUGGCCCCACGUAUAAGGGCAGCGGUUGCUCUACCUCAUAACUCUCAAACACUGGAGUAGUACUGGCCGAGUAGACAGAAGAAGGAACAAAGACAGGACAAAGAAUUCAUUACUACCCUGAUUUACCGACAAGGCCUUAGCAACUAGGCUUCUUAACCGCGCCUGUAUAGGUAUUUCUACUUAGCUACAUUGCCUGAGCUACUAAUAAGCAUCUAGUUAUAGACUUAGCAACAUGGCUUCCAAGACUAUAUACUUAGCUACUCCACUCAAUAUUCAUAUAACUCCUUAGCAAAAGGCCCCUAUAGGCUUCAAAUGCAAUUGAAAGCGAAUUCCUAGGUGGAACACUAGACUCGUUAUAUAAGUAAGGGUUAGUGGUGACUUGCCCGACCUCUGUUUCUCGCCCUCUUGCCUCUGCCCUUAUAAUUAAUGGUAGACGCUAUUCGCCCAGCUUCUGUAUCAAAUACAUAACUCUUUAACUCCGAUGUCUAUUACAUCCCCUGGUAGCUAGGUAAACGAAUUCCUCUUUCUUACUCUGGCUCCUAAGUCUUCCAAUUCCAUUCUGAAGGAGUUAACCUAAUUAAUAGCUAAAGUCAAAGCCAAGGCGCGGUAGCGAGCUAUAGAAGCGGCAGGAGCUUUAUUCGUUUUUGCCCCUACAGAGAGGGACAUCCCUUACUUUGACCUUAAGAAUGGAAUGGAAUGGAAACUGAUUAACCAAGAACUGAAAGAGACUCCGCUCAAGCAUCCGAUCUAUUAACCAAGAACUGAAGGAGACUCCGCUCAAGCAUCCGAUCUAUUAACUCUGGCUCGUGGACCUAUGGCUACCAAUAAUGAAUUGAACUCGGCCCUUACUUAUAUUACUGUCUGCGAGUUGAUAGUGGAUUUCUUUGUCUAGGAAGCAGGCAAGAGAGACCGGCAUACGACCAAGCAAGUACGAUUUGCCAUCAAACUCAAGAAGAAAACCGGCAUCCAAGGUAAGAAACUGAGGAAUUAACCAUAGCUGAUCUAGCCCUAAGAAUUGACCCACUACUGAGAACACUGCCAAUAAGCCUGCUCCCUACUGCCUCCUAAUUUCGUUCCUUAGUUCAUGGCGGUAGCGAGUUCAACUUUGCUUUAAACCUAAGACUCAAGUUUCUCCUUCUUUAGCUCAACUAAUCUUUAUUACUUUACUGCUUAUCUGCCUAUAAUUUCUCUAUUACAUUACCAACAAUUCUAUUACUCGAUUACUUAUACUCAAAAUAAAGACUUGCUUCACUGCGCCUAAAGCAGCCUUUCCUUAAACAAAUCCUAUGUUCGCCUACGAGACCAACACUCCUUGAUCUAAAUCUGACUUCGCCGGCUAUUAACUUGUCCUUCUCCCCGAGACCUACUACCCAAACGGAUAAUACCAACUAGCAAACUAAAGACAGGAAUAUGGAAUCCAACUCGUGCCUACAAGAAUAGAAACUGCGCCUCUAAUACUUUCUCCUAUAAUAAGGAACAGAAACCCAGGCUAACAAUAAUGGAACUAGAGACGGGUGAUCUAACAAGUCACUCUAGUUCUCUCGGGUAGGAACGUAAGAGCACUGGGUUAGUGACUCACAAGUAAGAAUGCCCGUACAGGGUCAAAGACUCAACAAAGUAAUUAGUCCGGGUGAGUUGAGCCUGUAGUUUUAGAGUUGCAUCCCCAACUAGUAGCAGAGUAGUUGCAUCUGUCUUUGUUUACAGAGGAGUGGUAUAGUAGCCGAAUUCAGCAAGUCAUAACUCUGUUAAUAGGAGCCGAGCCCCGGUCACUAAUGAGUUAAAAGAGCCAGAGCCAUAGGUAUAAGGAUAUCUGAGUUUAGGUAAGUCCAGUAGUAGUAGCAAAGUAGACUUGUCUGCUUGUCCCCUUGACACAGUACAGACACAGUAGAAGAACAUUCCAACUCUCAAGUAGGAAAGGCAGAAUUCCAUUAGUAUGUAGAAGAAUGGAACUCAGUCCACAAAGAAUAAAACAGGAGCAGAGCCAGUAGUUGUAGUCCCGGGUUCUUAGCCUUUGUAGUAACAGUUGCCCAGUUCUUGCCUUUGUUUGUAGUAGUGGCUUGGUCAUUAGCAGUUCCUUGGUGGACUUGGUUAUAAGCAUAAGUAUGGGAGAUGAGCCUCAUUCAGUUACAUAGUUGCUUGUUUACUUUUGUGUUUACUUGUUUGUUUGUUCCAUUGCUUGUUCUAUAUAAUAGCAUCUAUAUAAUAGCAUCUAGUUCCAUUGCUUGUUCUCUAUAAUAGCAUCUAAUAGAUGAACAUAACAUCCUACUGCUUACAGCAAAGACUAUCCUUUCAGUUAACCUAACAGCGCUGAAGAAGUAAGGCCAUUUCUCGAAGUAAGGCUUGAACGCCCGGCAAGCAGACAAGUAACUAGAAGUCAACAAAUACAGAAUUCCAUUUCCAAGUCAAGCUCUAUUUAACUCCCUUAGUUCAUGAGACAGCAAAAUGUUGUAAAUAGCGGCCUUUUAGGAAGGCACUUGGAUUGGCACUAAUCAGGUUCGGAAGCACAAGUUGUAGCCGACUAGUAAGCAUAUUUUGCCAUUUCUUUUGUAAACAGUGUUGCCGCAGCACCUGAACAUAUCGAAGUAAGAAGUCACUUCAGUAAUGAAUCUCCUUCAGCAGGAAAUAAGGAUGGGAGAUAGGUUACUAAGAAAGGAAACCAAUUCACAAGUUGACCUUUGAAGCAGGGGGACCGAGUGACAGACUUGGCUUUUCCAGAAUACACUACAAAUAUGGUUGAGCAUAAGGCGUUUUCAUCAAGGUAGGGUUAGGGUAGACCCAGGGUCCGUUUAGAAGCGAUACAGAGAGAAAGAACCAUAGCCAGAAGUCUCGAAGGGUACAGGGCAAAGUCAGAAAUCCACCUAUGAAACUAAUCCACUUGCCUUAUAAUUAAUUUGAUCCUAACAUCUUUAUGGUCGAAAGGAAAGAUGCUAUUGGGUAUCCUCCAACUUCCAUAGACGAAACACACUUAGAUAAAGCUUCUCUUGAUCACACACAUCUUGGUUUAGACUUAUACUGGGCGAACCUAUCUCUACAACAACACAGUCAACCGUACUCUACCUGCUUGCUACAGGCAAUUCAACCGCGACACGAUAACCUCUCUCCCACUUAGUAAAACCAAUCACCGAGACUUAACUCGCAACCCGCAGGCGCUUAAGAAUCCAGUCCCAGAAUUGAGCUAGAUCCGAUCAGACUUAACCCAGUGCCCCUAAGAACCAAACCAGCAACAACCAGGCUGAAACACCCAGCUACAAGACUCAAACUAGGGCUACUCAGGCCUCAACUCAGUAGUGACAGGCUCUCCGGCAGGGUAUCGAUUCCAAGUACUGAUAGAGAGUUACAGGCUAAGACAACAGCUACUCGGACUUAAACCGGCGCUAGCAAGCCUUAUACUGGUGCCACUUAGAAUCAAACUCGGUAGUUUCAGAAUGAAGUCAAGAAUCCAAACUAAGUAGUGACAGGCUUCAACCCAAAAGUGACAGGCUAUCUUCGACCCCCCGAGUCACGGAAUUGAACUAAGCAGGUUAACUCGCUACCUACUGGCAAAGAAUUCCAGUACUACUGAUUCUAACUGAUGAAACUACGAGCCAUCAAUUGCCAAGUCCAGUGUUCGCCUUUCCUACUUGCCUACUUCCACUCAUGAACGGAUUCAACUCGUUCGUCCACUCUACUCUAACAAGACCAGGAGCUGGAUACUUGCUUUAAGGCUUAGACAAACUCCUUAAGCUAGUCAAUUGAAUGAAACAAGUAAGUCCACCACCCUACCUGGCGUACCACACCACACUGGUUAAGAUCGUUUGCCAACUCCUAUAUAGGAUGAAACAAUAGAAGCCGGUAACUACCCCAGUGCUCCUUCCUUAAUGAAUGCCUACUAUAGCUCAUCUCAUAUCACACGCUUACCGAACAUCCAGCCCACUACUACCAACAACUACAAAGGCACAGAACUGAGCCCUCUCGUAGACAACAAAGACAGCCAGAUGCCCUUUCCAAAUAGAUCUUGCUUCUAAGCAGCUCAUCUCGCAAACAGGGAAUCCAUCUCUACCUUACCCGGACAGCUAUGUAUAAGAAAUCAAUAUCAAUUCAUUCUCUCUUUAGAAAGGAUAGAGGCCAAGCAACCUUUCUUUCCUUCCCUAUACACCCCUUUAGCCAACAAAGACAGAUGAUACUUCCACUCGGUAUCGGUAUUCCACAACAACAAAGAACAGGCAAUUCUAUACUAUACGGGGCUGUAAACAUAGUCAACAAUUCUGCAUUUCAUCUUUCUUGCGCUGAAGGAACUGCACCCGCACUGCUAACUGAAUGAGAACUCCCCUUCAACUAAUUCUUCUUGAUUACCUCUACUCCCAGGUAUUCCAAUAAUAAUAACUGACCUAGCUCACACCUAGCUUCAAAGCAAGUACUUUAUUCAUUUACAACCUUAACUCUCACUGAGUCGGAUUCUGCUCUUGAUACUAAGGAAUUGGAACUGGCAAUACUUAACGCCUCAGUAAACUCUUCAAAUACAGAUCUUGUAACUGCUCUUGCAACUGAACAAGCUACCACUAGACAAGACACUAGGCAAGUAGAACAAAAGUGCUAUACUAUUUCUCUAUUUGCUAUGAGCCAAGUCACUCACUACACCGGCUAUCUAUCCUGAGUUGUUGAAUGAUUUGUUUACAAGGCUAACAGGGAAGUCGAAGAAUUAAGAUCCACUGCUGAGGCUGCAGGCGCAAGUGAAAGAUUCAAUUAGACUGUUUCUGGUCAGGGAAGGGGCCAAUCAACAUAGUUAGUUGCGCUAAGGAGCUUCGGACUUGAGAGGUUGCCAGCCAGAUCAGAGCACUUCUUGUUGGCAAAGGUGAACCUGCUACUUAAGAAGCGGUUGAAAGAUCUGACUACUUAGUUUCAAGAGAAAGAGAGGGAUGAGAUCGAGGUCUUAGAUAGAAGCUCUCCGCCGGUAAAGAAAGUCUCAAGGUGUUCUAAACUCUAUUCAAUGAUUUGAUUCACUUAAAAAGAGAGCUUUAAAGGAGAGUGAGUUUCGGGUGUGAGUGAAAAGUGGACAGUUCCGGUUUCAUCAGUAUUUGUAGCAAUAGAUAUGAGAGGCACUAGCUCCAUUAUUACUGCUUAUCCCUUUGCUUUAGAAGCACUAGUCAAAACAAGGUCCGAGAAGCACUGGUUUCAUUCUGACUUGAACUACUGAGUUGCCGGCUCACUGGUAUUAUUACUUAAGAGAACAGAACAGAUAGAGCUAAUUGAACUUACAAAUCGAAACUCCCUUCUUCAAUUUAUGUACUUAGAGUCGAGGCCCUUAUAGUCAGUUGUGGAAGUCAAACAAAUCAUUGAACCCUGCUGGGCUUGUGGAAAGAAGUGACUAGGGGUCGGGUGCUAGUGUAUAGGGAAGGAAAGAAAGAAAGUGAAGUUCGAGUUCAAGCAGAAGCUAGAUCUAUAAAGCAAUCGGGUCUUCAUCAAAUACUGGUUAUUGUGAGCUACAGUAGUUCAUAAGAAUGCAACCACUACCCCUAGUAUAGGAAUGAAAACAAGCCUACCCCAGCUACUUGACUAGAGCGUAAGCACCAAGCCCACCCCGUCAAGUCAGUAAACAAAGUGAGUCAACUAAGUCAGUAAACAAGCUUACCCCACAAAGUCAGUAAUCACCCAGUAAGUAAACAAGCCCUACCUGAACUACUUGUUUAAGGGUCGAGAGAGAGGGCUUGCUCACAUAUUCCUGUUGCAAAUACAGUUCUCAGAUCUUAAGCGUGAAGUAGAGAAUUGUAGCCAGAGUUCAAUGAAACAAAAAAGGCUGUAGAAUGGAAUUAAUUGACAGAGUUAGAUUGAUUAGAUGAGAGCCAUAGUUUAUGAGAUGAGCCAGAGGAUAGGUCAGCAAGGGAAGCAGUUAGAAUAGAAGUAGGUGUUACCAAAGUGAGAAUUGGACUAGUAAGUAGAAGCCUUAAAGCACCGAGUAGCAGAGUAGCUAAGAGUACAAGAGGUAUACAAUAGUUAGUAAAGAGCCAGAGGUACAGUAAAGAAGUUAGUGCUUCAGAAGCGGGAAGUUUAGUUCCAUUGUCUAGGAAAAGUAGUACAACAUUGUCUAGGUUCGUAGCUAGGGUUGAUCCAGAAGGAGCACGUACUGGUAGUCCUGUUCUUGUUCUAGUUUCAUCCCUGGUGAAAGCCUAUGUUCCAGUUGUUGUUAGAGUUUCAUCCCAAAUAAGUAUACGAGUAGUCCGGAGUGAAUCUAAUUAAUAGCCAAAGUUCGCUUAUUUGUUUUCUCCCUAGUUGAAUCCCGAAUUGCAUCCGUUCACCUAUAUAAGGUAGAAGAGUCAGAGCAGAGGUAUAGGAGCCGAGCUGGGAGUGAUAGUGAAAAGCCAGUAGUUUAUGAGUUGAAUACCGAAUGUCAUCCAAGGCCUAUCCUAUCCCGUUGCAAGCAAGGUAAGAAAAAGAAUCAUGAGCUAUGUAUUAUAAGAUAUAAGUAAAGUAACCAACCCCGAACACAGGACUUGGUAAGCUAUCACUGGAAACACCGGAGUCAGAAUGUCCCUAAG
This 11514-nucleotide long non-coding RNA is filed under the name Musa acuminata (dwarf banana). RNAcentral describes it as "long non-coding RNA (MACU_LNC008139)". Lineage: Eukaryota; Viridiplantae; Streptophyta; Magnoliopsida; Zingiberales; Musaceae. The record is from RNAcentral.